GACGAACGCUGGCGGUGUGCUUAACACAUGCAAGUCGAGCGGUAAGGCCCUUUCGGGGGUACACGAGUGGCGAACGGGUGAGUAACACGUGAGUAACCUGCCCUCAUCUCUGGGAUAACAGUCGGAAACGGUUGCUAAUACUGGAUAUGAGCCUGCAAGGCAUCUUGUGGGUUGGAAAGAUUUUUUGGUUGGGGAUGGACUCGCGGCCUAUCAGCUUGUUGGUGAGGUAGUGGCUCACCAAGGCUUCGACGGGUAGCCGGCCUGAGAGGGCGACCGGCCACAUUGGGACUGAGAUACGGCCCAAACUCCUACGGGAGGCAGCAGUGGGGAAUAUUGCACAAUGGACGGAAGUCUGAUGCAGCAACGCCGCGUGCGGGAUGACGGCCUUCGGGUUGUAAACCGCUUUCAAUUGUGACGAAGCUUUUUGUGACGGUAGCAGUAGAAGAAGCACCGGCUAACUACGUG
This 465-nucleotide ribosomal RNA is filed under the name uncultured bacterium. Its description in RNAcentral is "partial 16S ribosomal RNA". It matches the Rfam family "Bacterial small subunit ribosomal RNA", at positions 28 to 507 of the family's 1533-position model. The record is from RNAcentral.